This is a long non-coding RNA of Dreissena polymorpha, 260 nucleotides long. RefSeq lists it as uncharacterized. The transcript has 3 exons. The record is from RefSeq and is a predicted model, not a curated record. Lineage: Eukaryota; Metazoa; Mollusca; Bivalvia; Myida; Dreissenidae.
GGGACUUAAUGCAUGUGUGUGAAGCACUGUCCCAGGUUAGCCUGCCUGGACUGCAGGGACAGGCUUGUAUGGGAGGAGACUUAAUGCAUGUGUGUGAAGCACUGUCCCAGGUUAGCCUGCCUGGACUGCAGGGACAGGCUUGUAUGGGAGGAGACUUAAUGCAUGUGUGUAAAGCACUGUCCCAGGUUAGCCUGCCUGGACUGCAGGGACAGGCUUGUAUGGGAGGAGACUUAAUGCAUGUGUGUGAAGCACUGUCCCAG